AUUGAACGCUGGCGGCAUGCCUUACACAUGCAAGUCGAACGGCAGCACGGGAGCAAUCCUGGUGGCGAGUGGCGAACGGGUGAGUAAUGUAUCGGAACGUGCCCAGUCGUGGGGGAUAACGUAGCGAAAGCUACGCUAAUACCGCAUACGAUCUAUGGAUGAAAGCGGGGGACCGUAAGGCCUCGCGCGAUUGGAGCGGCCGAUAUCAGAUUAGGUAGUUGGUGGGGUAAAGGCCUACCAAGCCGACGAUCUGUAGCUGGUCUGAGAGGACGACCAGCCACACUGGGACUGAGACACGGCCCAGACUCCUACGGGAGGCAGCAGCGGGGAAUUUUGGACAAUGGGCGCAAGCCUGAUCCAGCAAUGCCGCGUGCAGGAUGAGGGCCUUCGGGUUGUAAACUGCUUUUGUACGGAGCGAAAAGGCUCUCUCUAAUACAGGGGGCUCAUGACGGUACCGUAAGAAUAAGCACCGGCUAACUACGUGCCAGCCGCCGCGGUAA
Molecule: ribosomal RNA, 500 nt
Filed under: uncultured bacterium
Lineage: Bacteria
Description: partial 16S ribosomal RNA
Rfam family: Bacterial small subunit ribosomal RNA
Source: RNAcentral